RNAcentral lists this long non-coding RNA (2395 nucleotides) under Pan troglodytes (chimpanzee). RNAcentral's name for it is "long non-coding RNA NONPTRT014857". Lineage: Eukaryota; Metazoa; Chordata; Mammalia; Primates; Hominidae. The record is from RNAcentral.
CAGGUUUAAAAAUUAUCUUAAAAAUAUAUGUCUUGCUGGGAUCUGCCCAAUGCGGAUUGGCAAAAAGACUCUGCUCAUUAAAAUCUUUGCAUUUUAAUGCAAAGCAUUGAAAACCUUGUCUCUAAAAUCACAACCUGUGAGACACCUUGCUGAUUUAGAAAGCACAUCAGAGAUUGGCCCUGAGCUCCCCUUAGAACAGUGCCCCACCAGGUGUGGGGAUGGCCCAGGGGACUCAGGAGAGCAGGUUCAAAUGAAAGCUCCCCAUAGCUACUAACUGCCAGCGCUUGCUUUGGGCCUGUUCCCCCUGGGCAAGGACCAGCCAUCCUUCCAAGCCGUGCACAAAUACCCCCUCCCAUGUGUGUCCCUCAUCUUCCCACAUGAAGGAACACCCUCCUGCUCCCUGAGGCCUGGAUCCACAGUGAUGGAGCGUAUCCGGAUCUCCCUGUGUGACAAAUGCUCACACAUUUCUUUGCUUCUCUACUGGAAGCAUGAGGUCUUUGAGAAUAUACUAGAUCUGUUUACAGCUUUUGAGGGAAAAAAGCCCUAGUGGCCUACUGUUGCUCAAUUAGAAUGUGAUCAAUUGUGUUUCCCAUGGGAGCAGGAGGCAAGGGAGGGGUCUAUGCAUGCGUGGAGCUCACUUUGCAGCACACCCAUCUGUGGCCAACCAUUGAUGCCUGGAUCCAUGGCUGCACCCACACCUCUGCUCAGUCCCUGGAUGGUCCCUGCAGCCAUCCUCAAAAGGAAACCCCAAUUCCACCAAUCUGCUGCCCCACUCAAAUGUGAGGACCGCACAUGCCUGAGCUCCUGCUGUCUGCACACCACGCACCGUGGGGGUUCCUUAUGACCAGAGACACAGUCUGAAACAAACCUGAAUUUGCUAAACCCUCUAGAGCUCAACAGGACCUAAGCCUUGAUAUGGUUCUGUGUGCUCCUCCCAGGGCGCCCGCUGUCCCCGAGCUCCGGGCCUGAGUGCUGGCUGGCGGAGACCGCACAGUGGGUGCCCCGCUGCCGGACGAUGCCCCUGGGCUUCCAGAUCCAGAGCCUCGGGACGAAACUGUUUUAGGAAGACCCGGAAGGACUCGCCGGUCGCGGCAAGGGACAGGCGGUUCCUGAGACAGGAGGAGCCAGGAAAUGCGGGGCCUGGUGGGGUGAGGAGCACGGGGUUCCUCCUUCAUCCUCGCGGGGACUUUGCCACCGGCUCAGUGUGGAGGCCUCACCGUCCCGCCCGGAUCCGUGGGGCUCCGACAGUGUGGCCCCUGCGAGGACACCCCUAUCCUCCUUGCCCUGGGGCUGCUGCGGGAGGGCGCCCGGGCCGCACUAGGUCCUGAGUGUCCAGGGUCCGGCAGGGGCUUCCCGUUGUCGCCUCCCUGACCCCGCCGCUUGCGGUCCAGGGCUGCUGGUUUCUUCGCUGGGCUGGGAGGCCCUAGCAUGGACGUCGUGAGGCGGAGAAAACCUUGGCAUAGGUGGAAAAGAAGGAUUGGAGGGAGGGCGGCAGAAAGAGAGAGGAAGGAAACAGGGCCGGAGAACAAUGAGAAACCCCCACCACGAAAAUGGGGAGAGGGGGACACGCACAGCCCCCACACUCCACCGACUCUCCGUCUCCUGCUCUCUGCCCAGUAAGGAACACAGGCCCCACCCCCUCCACCCUCAACUGUGUUUGGGAUCAGCCAUUUCAGCGGGGUGAGGCGUCCCCUUGCGGGUGCGAUUGGCAUUUCCCCGAGGGUUGUGAACACUGAACACCUUUUCCUGGGCUCACUGCCAUUUGCAUUCUUCUUCUGAUGCCAGCGGGAAAGGGGAGGUCCCCAAACGCCGGUGGGACCUCGACUCCAGCCAGUGUCCAGACUCUUGAUAUUGCCGGGGAAAUGAAUUCAAGGACCAGUAGGAAAUAGAGAAAGGAGGGAGAUUUAUUGUAAAAGGCAAAGUACACAGUCAAGUAAAGGGAGUGCAGGGGAACUCAAGAGAGAAGCAGGUGCAAGUUUGGGGCUGCCACCUUUCUGGGUUUCUUUAACCAAGGAGUGGAAUAUUCAUGAAAAUUCCUGGAAGAAGGUAGAGAUUUCUCAGAACUGUGGUGCCCCGCAGUUUUACACUAAAUAUAAGUGUUCUCAGAACUGCUCAGGAGCUGGCUGGUGUGUGUUUAGUAUGUUAAUCAGCAUGUAAUGAGGUCCUAGGUGAAACCUAGGUCAAAUGCAGGGCCUUGUUGGGUCCAGUCAUUCUUAGCCAGCUUGGUCCACAUGCUGUUUUUCAGCAUCUUAUCAGCCCAGAGCCUCUGCACAUAUUUCAACAGAUUUCUUGUGCUAGUCACCUGAAACUGCUGCCUGAAAUUUUCUGCUUUUGCGACCACCGUGUAGUAUACCUGUCUUACUUUGGAGAAAUGUCUAUUCAAAUUCCUUGCAUA